GACGAACGCUGGCGGCGUGCUUAACACAUGCAAGUCGAACGGAAAGGCCCUGCUUUUGUGGGGUGCUCGAGUGGCGAACGGGUGAGUAACACGUGAGUAACCUGCCCUUGACUUUGGGAUAACUUCAGGAAACUGGGGCUAAUACCGGAUAGGAGCUCCUGCUGCAUGGUGGGGGUUGGAAAGUUUCGGCGGUUGGGGAUGGACUCGCGGCUUAUCAGCUUGUUGGUGGGGUAGUGGAUUACCAAGGCUUUGACGGGUAGCCGGCCUGAGAGGGUGACCGGCCACAUUGGGACUGAGAUACGGCCCAGACGCCUACGGGAGGCAGCAGUGGGGAAUAUUGCACAAUGGGCGGAAGCCUGAUGCAGCAACGCCGCGUGCGGGAUGACGGCCUUCGGGUUGUAAACCGCUUUCGCCUGUGACGAAGCGUGAGUGACGGUAAUGGGUAAAGAAGCACCGGCUAACUACGUG
RNAcentral lists this ribosomal RNA (468 nucleotides) under uncultured bacterium. RNAcentral describes it as "partial 16S ribosomal RNA". It matches the Rfam family "Bacterial small subunit ribosomal RNA", at positions 28 to 507 of the family's 1533-position model. The record is from RNAcentral.